GCCCAGCUAUCUCAGUCGGUAGAGCAGGAGACUUCAUCUCAAGGUUGUGGGAUCGAGCCCCACAUUGGGUA
Non-coding RNA from Dryococelus australis, 71 nucleotides. Lineage: Eukaryota; Metazoa; Arthropoda; Insecta; Phasmatodea; Phasmatidae. The record is from the annotation of a GenBank genome assembly.